This 459-nucleotide ribosomal RNA is filed under the name uncultured bacterium. RNAcentral's name for it is "partial 16S ribosomal RNA". It matches the Rfam family "Bacterial small subunit ribosomal RNA", at positions 338 to 795 of the family's 1533-position model. The record is from RNAcentral.
CCUACGGGAGGCAGCAGUGAGGAAUAUUGGUCAAUGGGCGAGAGCCUGAACCAGCCAAGUCGCGUGAAGGAUGAAGGAUCUAUGGUUUGUAAACUUCUUUUAUAUGGGAAUAAAGUGAGGAACGUGUUCCUUUUUGUAUGUACCAUAUGAAAAAGCAUCGGCUAACUCCGUGCCAGCAGCCGCGGUAAUACGGAGGAUGCGAGCGUUAUCCGGAUUUAUUGGGUUUAAAGGGUGCGCAGGCGGAAUGUCAAGUCAGCGGUAAAAUUUCGGGGCUCAACCCCGUCGUGCCGUUGAAACUGGCGUUCUUGAGUGAGCGAGAAGUAUGCGGAAUGCGUGGUGUAGCGGUGAAAUGCAUAGAUAUCACGCAGAACUCCGAUUGCGAAGGCAGCAUACCGGCGCUCAACUGACGCUCAUGCACGAAAGCGUGGGUAUCGAACAGGAUUAGAUACCCUAGUAGUC